RNAcentral lists this ribosomal RNA (475 nucleotides) under uncultured bacterium. RNAcentral describes it as "bacterial SSU rRNA". It matches the Rfam family "Bacterial small subunit ribosomal RNA", at positions 28 to 507 of the family's 1533-position model. The record is from RNAcentral.
GACGAACGCUGGCGGCGCGCCUAACACAUGCAAGUCGAGCGGGGAUUGUGGAGAGCUUGCUCAAAGCAAUUCUAGCGGCGGACGGGUGAGUAACGCGUGAGCAACCUGCCUAUCACAGGGGAAUAACGCACCGAAAGGUGUGCUAAUACCGCAUGAGACCACAGGACCGCAUGGUCAAGGGGUCAAAGAUUUAUCGGUGAUAGAUGGGCUCGCGUCUGAUUAGCUAGUUGGUGAGGUAACGGCCCACCAAGGCGACGAUCAGUAGCCGACCUGAGAGGGUGAUCGGCCACAUUGGAACUGAGAAACGGUCCAAACUCCUACGGGAGGCAGCAGUGGGGAAUAUUGGGCAAUGGGCGCAAGCCUGACCCAGCAACGCCGCGUGAAGGAAGAAGGUCUUCGGGGUCGUAAACGUUCUAAUCCUUGGUGAAGAUAAUGACGGUAGCCAAGAAGGGAAGCCCCCGGACUAACGUACGUG